UUAAAGUUGUUGCAGUUAAAAAGCUCGUAGUUGAACCUUGGGCCUGGCUUGCCGGUCCGCCUCACCGCGUGUACUGGUCCGGCCGGGCCUUUCCUUCUGGGGAACCGCAUGCCCUUCACUGGGCGUGUUGGGGAACCAGGACUUUUACUUUGAAAAAAUUAGAGUGUUCAAAGCAGGCCUUUGCUCGAAUACAUUAGCAUGGAAUAAUA
RNAcentral lists this ribosomal RNA (209 nucleotides) under uncultured eukaryote. Its description in RNAcentral is "partial 18S ribosomal RNA". It matches the Rfam family "Eukaryotic small subunit ribosomal RNA", at positions 604 to 819 of the family's 1831-position model. The record is from RNAcentral.